RNAcentral lists this long non-coding RNA (348 nucleotides) under Vigna radiata. RNAcentral describes it as "long non-coding RNA (VRAD_LNC017250)". Lineage: Eukaryota; Viridiplantae; Streptophyta; Magnoliopsida; Fabales; Fabaceae. The record is from RNAcentral.
AGAUGAAUAAAGUUUAAAACAAAUAAUAUAUUAAAUAUAUGAUAAUUAUACUCGAUGAAUUUGAGAUCUAAAAACUAUAUUAUUAAAUCACCCUUUUCUAUUCUCCAAUUUAUCAUCUAUUGCUGCCCUUUGUAAUCAUGACUUCUUCUAUCAUCAUUCAUUGCUCUUCUUUCUCAUCCCCGCAAACAAACACAAAACCACACCUAUCUCUCUUUUUUCAUCUUCAUUUCAACUUUCUCACCUUUCAGAGAUAAAAAGGUAUGUGCUCUUUCUCUUCGAAAAAACCACCAUAUCUUCCUCUUCUUUUUGCGCUUCACCCUCCGUGUUCUUCCGCGACACACCACCACC